GAUGAACGCUGGCGGCGUGCCUAAUACAUGCAAGUCGAGCGAACGGACGAGAAGCUUGCUCCUCUGAUGUUAGCGGCGGACGGGUGAGUAACACGUGGAUAACCUACCUAUAAGACUGGGAUAACUUCGGGAAACCGGAGCUAAUACCGGAUAAUAUUUUGAACCGCAUGGUUCAAGAGUGAAAGACGGUCUUGCUGUCACUUAUAGAUGGAUCCGCGCUGCAUUAGCUAGUUGGUAAGGUAACGGCUUACCAACGCAACGAGGGAUAGCCGACCUGAGAGGGUCGUCGGCCACCCGGUAACAGAGGCACGUCCCAGACACCGACGGGGGGAAGCGGUAGGGACUCUUCCGCAAUGGACGAAAGCCUGACGGUGCACAGCCGCGUGAGUGAUGAAGGUGCUCGGAUCGGAGAACUCUGUUAUUAGGGAAGAACAUAUGCGUAAGUAACUGUGAACAUCUUGACGGUACCUAAUGAGAAAGCCACGGCUAACUACGUG
This 497-nucleotide ribosomal RNA is filed under the name uncultured bacterium. Its description in RNAcentral is "partial 16S ribosomal RNA". It matches the Rfam family "Bacterial small subunit ribosomal RNA", at positions 28 to 507 of the family's 1533-position model. The record is from RNAcentral.